This 82-nucleotide transfer RNA is filed under the name Nanobdellota archaeon. Its description in RNAcentral is "tRNA-Leu". It matches the Rfam family "tRNA". Rfam says of the family: Transfer RNA (tRNA) molecules are approximately 80 nucleotides in length. Their secondary structure includes four short double-helical elements and three loops (D, anti-codon, and T loops). Lineage: Archaea; Nanobdellati; Nanobdellota. The record is from RNAcentral.
GGCAGCGUCGCCUAAUGGUAAUGGCGAGAGUCUUAAAAACUCUGUCUUAGCGGACUUCUGGGUUCAAUCCCCAGCGCUGCCG